RNAcentral lists this unclassified non-coding RNA (440 nucleotides) under Hevea brasiliensis (rubber tree). Lineage: Eukaryota; Viridiplantae; Streptophyta; Magnoliopsida; Malpighiales; Euphorbiaceae. The record is from RNAcentral.
UGUUUUUUUUUUUUUUUUUUCAAAAUGAUAUCCCUUAAUUUUAUUUGUUUUUCCUUCCCCAUCCAACUUCUUGCAAUGUUCUUUUUGUGUAGAAUACAUCGAAAAUUCCUUUCAACAUUAGUGUUCUUCUAAAAAGAAAGUUGAAGUCGCAAUUCCAAACAGACUCUUAAUUCCACUUCAAUCGCUUCUAAUUCUUCCGCAGCUUACUCUGACUUCCUGUGCAUUUUAUGCUAUCUGAUCUGCCAUAACAGCAUACUGGUGUUUUUAUUUUCAAAAGGGGACUUGAUUAUAAUGGUAGACUGUAAUGAAGCACAAUGGAAUAAAUUUCUCAUUCAUUACUUCUCGUCCCCUCUUUUCUUUUGGUCAAUUAUGGCAAGUUCUUGCUUGAUUUGGGUUUCCUUUAUCACAAGAAUUAUUCAUUAUUUGCUGCAUCUUGCUGA